GAUGAACGCUGGCGGCGUGCCUAAUACAUGCAAGUCGAGCGAACAGACGAGGAGCUUGCUCCUCUGACGUUAGCGGCGGACGGGUGAGUAACAUGUGUAUAACCUACCUAUAAGACUGGGAUAACCUCGGGAAACCGGAGCUAAUACCGGAUAAUAUCUUGAACCGCAUGGGUCAAUAGUGAAAGACGGCUUUGCUGUCACUUAUAGAUGGAUCCGCGCCGCAUUAGCUAGUUGGUAAGGUAACGGCUUAUCAAGGGGACUAUGCGUAGACGACGUGAGGGGCUGAUCGGCCGCAUUGGAACUGAGCCGCGGUCCAGGCUCCUACGGGAGGCAGCAGUAGGCAAUGUUCCGCAAUGGGCGAAAGCCUGGCGGAACAACGCCGCGCGAGUGAUGAAGGUCUUCGGAUCGUAAAACUCUGUUAUUAGGGAAAAACAAAUUUGUAAGUAAAUAUGCACGUCUUGACGGUACCUAAUCAGAAAGCCACGGCUAACUACGUG
This 497-nucleotide ribosomal RNA is filed under the name uncultured bacterium. RNAcentral's name for it is "partial 16S ribosomal RNA". It matches the Rfam family "Bacterial small subunit ribosomal RNA", at positions 28 to 507 of the family's 1533-position model. The record is from RNAcentral.